RNAcentral lists this ribosomal RNA (645 nucleotides) under uncultured Tuberaceae. RNAcentral's name for it is "eukaryotic LSU rRNA". It matches the Rfam family "Eukaryotic large subunit ribosomal RNA", at positions 1 to 660 of the family's 3401-position model. The record is from RNAcentral. Lineage: Eukaryota; Fungi; Ascomycota; Pezizomycetes; Pezizales; Tuberaceae.
UUGACCUCGGAUCAGGUAGGGAUACCCGCUGAACUUAAGCAUAUCAAUAAGCGGAGGAAAAGAAACCAACAGGGAUUGCCUUAGUAACGGCGAGUGAAGCGGCAAAAGCUCAAAUUUGAAAUCUAACGCCUCUGGUGUUCGAGUUGUAAUUUGGAGAGGCAUCUUCCGGAGUGGCCCAGCCUAUGUACCUUGGAACAGGACGUCAUAGAGGGUGAGAAUCCCGUUCUUGGCUGGAUGUUCACUCCCGUAUGUAGUGUCUUCUACGAGUCGAGUUGUUUGGGAAUGCAGCUCAAAAUGGGUGGUAAAUUUCAUCUAAAGCUAAAUAUUGGCGAGAGACCGAUAGCGCACAAGUAGAGUGAUCGAAAGAUGAAAAGCACUUUGAAAAUAGAGUCAAACAGUACGUGAAAUUGUUGAAAGGGAAGCGCUUGAGACCAGAGUCAGCCUUUGGCAAACAACUGUUCCUUCUGGGCGGUGCACUUGUYAUUGGUUGGGCCAGCAUCGGUUGGGACGGUGGGAUAAAGGCUUGGGAAAUGUGACUCCUUUAUGGAGUGUUAUAGUCCCAGGUGGCAUGCCAUUCGUUCCGACCGUGGACCGCGCCUUGGCUCGGAUGCUGGCUUAAUGGUCUUCAGCGAMCCGUCUUGAAAC